AAACUCACCAGGUCAGGACACGGUAAGGAUUGACGGACUGAAGGCUCUUUCUCGAUUCCGUGGAAAGUGGUGCAUGGCCGUUUUUGGUUGGUGGAUCGAUCCGUCUGGUUAAUUCCGUUAACGAACGAGACCUCGGCACUCCGAAUAGCGCGGCGGACGUCGCGGCCUCCGGGCCGUCUUCCGCACGAGCUUCUUAGAGGGACCGUCCCCCGCCGGGGGAAGGAGGUGCGAGGCAACGACAGGUCUGUGAUGCCCUUAGAUGUUCUGGGCCGCACGCGCAUUACACUGACGCGUCCAACGGGUGACUCCCGACCCGAAGGGGCCGGGGAAUCCGCAAGGCGCGUCGUGAUGGGGAUUGAACGUUGCAAUUGUUGUUCACGAACGAGGAAUUCCUAGUAGGCGCGGGUCAUCAACCCCGCGCCGAUUACGUCCCUGCCCUUUGUACACACCGCCCG
RNAcentral lists this ribosomal RNA (455 nucleotides) under uncultured eukaryote. RNAcentral's name for it is "bacterial SSU rRNA". It matches the Rfam family "Eukaryotic small subunit ribosomal RNA", at positions 1211 to 1675 of the family's 1831-position model. The record is from RNAcentral.